RNAcentral lists this long non-coding RNA (855 nucleotides) under Equus asinus (donkey). Its description in RNAcentral is "lncRNA (ENSEASG00005028187.1)". Lineage: Eukaryota; Metazoa; Chordata; Mammalia; Perissodactyla; Equidae. The record is from RNAcentral.
AUUUAUUUUAAAUUUUUUGUGAGGACGAUUGGCCCUGAGCUAACAUCUGUUGCCAAUCUUCCUCUUUUUGCUUGAGGAAGAUCUGCGCCCAGGAUCUGAAGCUGUGAACCCCAGCCCAGCAAAGUGGAGCACUCAAACUUAACCACUACGCCACCAGGCCAGCCUCGUGUAAAUGCUAUUCUUGUCAAAAAACUAAAGAGAAACUCCCUUCAUACCCCAGUCUUCAAGUGAUUUCCAUGGAGCUGAAAUGGUUUGGAGGAGAGAAGCAACUAUAUAGACAAGUUUUUAAAGUUUGGGAUGAUCUCAUUUGGGGAUGAAAAAGACGGCUGUGCACUGAGAAUUUCCCACAGAUUAUCUCUAUUUGGGAAAAAAUAUAAGCUGAUAUUGUCUUUAUUUUAGGUUACUGAAAGAUGAGCCACAUCUAAAUAUAUUCUAUUCAUUCAAUUCAACAACUAUUUAUUGAGCACACACUAUGUGCAGGAUACUGUUCUCAUCACUAGAGAUGGAACAGUGAACAAAACUGACAAAAAUUCCUACCCUGUGGAACUUACGGUCCAGCCGGAGCAAGGCUUGAUGAGUGGUGUGUAGGUCUGUGCCUGGCAUCUGAACCUGGAAACCCCAGACCACUGAAGCAGAGCAUGCAAACUUAACCACUACAUGGCCAGGCCAGCCCCAGACCUCAUUUGAAAGGUAUCAUUUGAGCAAAGACUUCAAGAAGGUGAGAAAGUUAAUAGUGUAGUUAUCUGCGGGAAGAAUGUUCCAGGUAGAGAGAACAGAAGAACGAGGUGACCAGUGUGUUUGGAGUAGAGUGAGGAGGAAAGCAGAAGGAGAUCAGGUCAGGGCGGUGAGGUGGGG